Molecule: long non-coding RNA, 569 nt
Filed under: Carica papaya (papaya)
Lineage: Eukaryota; Viridiplantae; Streptophyta; Magnoliopsida; Brassicales; Caricaceae
Description: long non-coding RNA (CPAP_LNC015042)
Source: RNAcentral
CUCAUAAUGGACCAUCUUUAGUUUUCUGCUAGAUAGUCUUUAUUCUCAAUGGGCCACUAACUUUCUCUUUUCUACCAUUCUUGAGUAUUCAUUAAAAGACCGUUUAAUUUUGACCAGAUCUUCAUGUACCUCUUUUAGUGAUAAAGGUAUAAAAACAUGAUUCAAACCGUUCUCUCACAAUGAAUAUUGAUUGGUGCGGCCGUAAUAUUAUACCUGUCUAUCAAAUUGCGAAGGUCUCUCAAGUAUCAUAUGACUGGCAUUCAUAGGUACGAUAUCACAACAUACCUUGUCGUGAUAUUUUUCGAUGAAGAAUGGUACUAUGACUUACUCGGUCACUUGGGUUUCAGCACAGUCAUUCAACCACCAUAGCCAGUAGGGAGCGCAAUGUUUGAUGCAUGUUAACCCCACUCUUUUCGUGAAUAGAGUGUUUGCCACAUUAGAACAACUACCACUGUCAAUGGUCAUUCCAUAUACCUUAUCAUUGACACAACAUCGUGGGUGGAAAAUGUUCUUCCUCAACUCAUUGUCUUUACUCCUAACUUACAAAUUGAGAGCUUUUCGAUCAACAA